This 1265-nucleotide long non-coding RNA is filed under the name Medicago truncatula (barrel medic). RNAcentral describes it as "lncRNA gene106". The record is from RNAcentral. Lineage: Eukaryota; Viridiplantae; Streptophyta; Magnoliopsida; Fabales; Fabaceae.
UUAGAAUUAAAUUAAGAAAACAAUAUUAUUUCUGACACAUUUACAAAGACACCAAAAGCUGCUAAUAAAUCUAUACAAUGUAAUAGGCUUUGAUGAAUGUCAAAGACUAAAACUCUAAGAAAGCAUUUGAGGGCAAAAAGAAUAACUAUGCCACAGCUAUUAUUUUCCUAUAUUUUUUUCUUAUUCUUUGAUUAAAAUUAAAAUUACAGCUUGUGUAUAACUGUGAGGUUCCCAUUGAUGCCGCAACCGUUUGGAGCUUUACAUAAGCAAGGGACUUUGAAUUCAUCUGGCUCAUCCGGAUCAAACAAGUAGUCAUACCUGUCAGGGACUAAAAUGAUGAUUCACUCCAAAAUGCAUGGUGAAAUGAUACAGGAAAGCAUAGAUAGGGAAUAUACGUUAGCUCAUCACCAGCAGAUACGUUAGUCUUGGCAAUGAGGGCGAUCCGGCUCUCGUCAUGACCCACACUCAUGAUCCUUGCAUAGCAAUUUGGCAUACACUGUAUUAACAUAAAUCAAGAAGGGGUAAGAUGACAUGACUAAUAACCAUUAACCAGUAAUAUGUACUAAAACGAAUAAACAUAGGCCGAUAUCAGCUGUUUUCAAGAUUGCCAAUUGAGUUUUUAAAAGGAACAGUCUCACAGGUUCUUGCAAUGAAAAGUGAGCAGUGAACUGUAGGUUGACUUACAGAAUGGUUAAUUAGCCGUGCAAUAUUUCCUUUAUCAGUUGCAUCAACUACCACCUCUUCACUAAUUUUGAACAGCUGCCAAAAAAAGAAGCCAGAAGAAUUUAAUGUGAUAAAAUGUUAACAAUUAAGAUGCACAGAAAAAAUCAGCAUCAAAACAGAGGGAAAAUAAUAGAGCAGAGGAAACCAAAGUGGACAAAAAUAAAGUCAAGGACAAGAGGAUGAAAUCAUCAGAAAAGGGGGAGAAUUAACUUACAUAGCAGUCUUUCCUUUCUAAUUUAUACCGCGCCUCCCUUAGAUCGGCAACGCUGCGCCUUACUUGUUCACCACGAUAUUCAAGGACCUGCAUUGGAUAAAAUCAUACUCAUUAUUUCUACAAUAAAAGUUCUACUGAUUAGAUGGAAAACAGAAACACAAAGGAUCACAGGAUAAUGAUGUUAUGUUUUGGCAAAUAUUAAAUCCAUAAUUUAUGUCUAAUUUUAUCGCAAGGUUACGCAUAUAUACUUUUAAAAAUGACAUGAUUAUAUAUUUUCAUCGCAAUGCUUAUCUGCCUUGUGCAAGACACGGGCUCCUACACUAGUUAU